ACGGGUGAGUAACACGUGGGUAACCCCCCUUUAAGUGGGGGAUAACAUUUGGAAACAGAUGCUAAUACCGCAUAGAUCCAAGAACCGCAUGGUUCUUGGCUGAAAGAUGGCGUAAGCUAUCGCUUUUGGAUGGACCCGCGGCGUAUUAGCUAGUUGGUGAGGUAACGGCUCACCAAGGCGAUGAUACGUAGCCGAACUGAGAGGUUGAUCGGCCACAUUGGGACUGAGACACGGCCCAAACUCCUACGGGAGGCAGCAGUAGGGAAUCUUCCACAAUGGACGCAAGUCUGAUGGAGCAACGCCGCGUGAGUGAAGAAGGCUUUCGGGUCGUAAAACUCUGUUGUUGGAGAAGAAUGGUCGGCAGAGUAACUGUUGUCGGCGUGACGGUAUCCAACCAGAAAGCCACGGCUAACUACGUGCCAGCAGCCGCGGUAAUACGUAGGUGGCAAGCGUUAUCCGGAUUUAUUGGGCGUAAAGCGAGCGCAGGCGGUUUUUUAAGUCUGAUGUGAAAGCCCUCGGCUUAACCGAGGAAGCGCAUCGGAAACUGGGAAACUUGAGUGCAGAAGAGGACAGUGGAACUCCAUGUGUAGCGGUGAAAUGCGUAGAUAUAUGGAAGAACACCAGUGGCGAAGGCGGCUGUCUGGUCUGUAACUGACGCUGAGGCUCGAAAGCAUGGGUAGCGAACAGGAU
Molecule: ribosomal RNA, 690 nt
Filed under: uncultured bacterium
Lineage: Bacteria
Description: bacterial SSU rRNA
Rfam family: Bacterial small subunit ribosomal RNA
Source: RNAcentral